UGGCUCUGGCAUCGAUGAAGAACGCAGCGAAAUGCGAUAAGUAAUGUGAAUUGCAGAAUUCAGUGAAUCAUCGAAUCUUUGAACGCACAUUGCGCCCGCUGGCAUUCCAGCGGGCAUGCCUGUCCGAGCGUCAUUUCAACCCUCAGGACCCCCCUCCCCCUCGCGGGGUUGGGCGGGACCUGGCGUUGGGGAUCGGCCCGCCCCCGCGCGGAGCCGCCCCCUAAAUCCAGUGGCGGUCUCGCCGCGGCCUCCCCUGCGUAGUAGUAAAGAACCUCGCACCGGAAGCGCGGCGCGGCCACGCCGUGAAACCCCCGACUUAGAACGUUGACCUCGGAUCAGGUAGGAAUACCCGCUGA
This 356-nucleotide unclassified non-coding RNA is filed under the name uncultured fungus. Its description in RNAcentral is "partial contains 5.8S ribosomal RNA and internal transcribed spacer 2". The stretch from base 1 to 133 matches the Rfam family "5.8S ribosomal RNA", at positions 22 to 154 of the family's 154-position model. The record is from RNAcentral. Lineage: Eukaryota; Fungi.